This 1365-nucleotide long non-coding RNA is filed under the name Vulpes vulpes (red fox). RNAcentral's name for it is "lncRNA (ENSVVUG00000010744.1)". The record is from RNAcentral. Lineage: Eukaryota; Metazoa; Chordata; Mammalia; Carnivora; Canidae.
AUGACCAAUUUGAAAUGUAUCCUGGGGAAAAGAAACACUAUAAAUAAUUUCUGGCUGUAUCAGUGCCACUGGUUUGCUGGACUUUCUUUUCUGCAAAAGGGAAGAUCUGUAGCAACGCACACCUUCCGUACAGGAGAGCAUACCCUAAUAAAUCCAUGCAACUGGAACUCUGAAACAUCCAAAAUGCUAUACAUUAAUAAUAGUAAUGACCAUGAGCAAAAAUUUAUACAUAUAACCAUCUGCAGGUGCAAGCUGAAGCCAAACUCUUUGAAAAGUUUCAGUGAACUUCAUUUGCAGGGAAAGUAUUUUAACCCAGCAUGCUGUCCCCAACUUUUAUCCUGGAAUUGCUUUUGCUAACCAACCAUUCUUCAGCUAAAGUUUUAUUGUUCCUUUUUAAUAAUAGCCUAAGCAACUAUUCUUUUUUUAAUGUAAAGUCCUGGAACUUAACAAGCCGAUUAAAUGAUAGAGACAGCUUUUGCUUCUUUCUCUGCCUCUGCUUUCUUCUAGGUCUUUCUGCUCCUCCAAUUCUUAAUGAGUAUGUUAUCUAGAGCACCAGUCCAAUAGAGGUCAUCACAAAACAAGAACAAGAUAGGCUUACUUCUUCUCUACACUGUUGGUCUCCGAGUAUGGCUAGACAAUUUUGAGGCCUCCUGCUGGGAGAGGUCAUGUGGCCCAGCCCACACACUGGCCAUGAACUUCUUGUUCCUGAAAAAUGAGUUCACUGCAGUGGGAACAGUCAUCUGUCUGAGCAGACAUGUUCCCAUCUACUAUCUCAUCAUGAGUAAAGCUCUGAGCCUAAAGAUGAGGCAUGGCCAGGGGUUGCCACUCUGUGAACAAUGUACAACCUGCAUAAGCAAGAGUUGAAAUAAGCCUAGUAAAUAGGACACAUCUCUAGAAUUGUCUUUUUCCCUCCCAGACCAUCAGUAGCAAGUGAUAAAUUUUUGUUUCUUAGCUUUGAUAUCCCAACUCCUUAUUCAUAUUUUUAUUCCUGGACCAUUAAAGAGAGAAGAUAAUUCUGAAGUUCUUCUGUAUUGUGGACUAAAUGUUUGUGAUUCCUCCCAACUCAUAUGUUGAAAUUCUAACCCGCAAGGUGAGGGUAUUAGAAGGCAUAACCUUUAAGGCGUGAUUGGGUCAUGAAGGCAGAGCCUUCAUGAAGGGGAUUAGUGCCCUUAUAGCAGAAAUUCCAAGGAUGCUCGGUGGCUCAGUGGUUAAAGCGCCUGCCUUCGUCUCAGGGAGUGAUCCUGGAGUCCCGGGAUCGAGUCCCAUGGAGCCUGCUUCUCCCUCCGCCUGUGUCUCUGCCUCUCUCAAUCUCUCUCUGUGUUUCUUAUGAAUAAAUAAAUAAAAUCUUAAAAAAAAAAAAAGAAA